GCUCUUGGCUUUUGCUCCGCAUGCCCACUCCAGGGAGGAAAGGAUAGCUCCCUGGCCUUGCACACGGAGUGCUGGUGUUUGGUGAUGUCUCACAGGGAACACCCUGAUUUCACCCGGAGGGCUUGGUGAAGUCUCUGAUGGGAGGAGCACAAGCAAGGCGGGACUUAUCCACACUGGAGAAGACACUUGGAAGACAGAGGCUUAAAGUCUAGCCCAGGGAGACAUUUCCUUCUACUCUGGAGCAGAAUGAGGACGGGCUCUUGGCAAUGUGGUUGAGGACAGACACAGUGGCAGAAGGAAAUCCCCGGUGAGGGGAGGUGGACAGAGAGGAGAUGACACAGAGAGGACAGAGACAGAGAGAGAGAGAGAGGGAAGGCAACAAGGAGAGGAGAAUAUAGAAUGGAGAAGGUUCAGGAUACCCUGAUGCCAGAUCUAACACUCGUAUCCCAAAUUAAAGGGCGUGGGGAUCUUUUGUUUUUAAAUUUUUUUUAACAUUUAUUUUUAUUUUUGAUACGGAGACAGAGUGCGAGCGGGGGAAGGGCAGAGAGGAGGGAGACACAGAAUCUGAAGCAGGCUCCAGGCUCCAAGCUGUCAGCACAGAGCCCGACACGGGGCUCGAACUCACGGACCGCGAGAUCGUGACCUGAGCGGAAGUCUGACGCCCAACCGACUGAGCCACCCAGGCGCCCCAGGGCAUGGGGAUCUUUAUGCAUCCUGUGAGAUACCUCCAGGUAGUGUUCCAGAGUCUUGAACCGAACGAUAGGUGGCCCCCCCACCACCAAUGCUGUGUAAGCACACUCUUUUCCAUAAUCACUCCUGCAUAGCAUUUUUUCAUUUUUAUUGAUUUGCCUUAAUUUAAUACAUGUAUAAGAAUAUCUUCCAUUUAAAAAAAAUUUGCAUUUCUUUAAUAGCUUUGGAGCCUGUGCACUUGAUUCUGUGGUGAUUUACUCUGCCAAUAAACAUGUAAUCCUACCGUGAGCAUGUUUUAUCUGUGUAAUAAACCAUAAUAAAAAAUAAAAAGGAAUCCGCGGACUAUGAAUGAGACACGUCGACAGGUACCGGGGUUAGAGAGGUUCGAGAGCGACUUGCAGUUUGGUUGGGGACCCUGGGCCUGUGCAUCAAAGGGAUUACAAUCAAAAAAGGCAGAGUUUAUUGGACGCUGGCUGAGCGUUCCAGAACACAAAUGCUGGAGGCGUUUCGUGGAGGGAGAGAGCAAGACUGUCGUGAGGGAUGAGAACAGAUACAUUUGUGACCUUCAUGAGCUCACCCCUGGCACCGUGGGCUGUGCCUGUCGGGGUGGGGACGGAAGUUCAGGCUGGCAUAGCGUCGCAGGUCUGUUCUCGGGGAGGCAGGAGGAGGUGGGCGCACAAAGGAAGGGCCGCGGGAGUGAAGGGACAGAUGGACCAGCGGCCAAGUGGAGGAGGGUCUCACCACCCGCACGCCUGGGUCGCCUGAGCAGCCUGCCCUGCUUUGCCAGCCCUUCCGACCAAUGUGCCCCGUCAGGAGCUGCUUCGGGAGAAGGAAGCCGGGAGGAAGCUUCCAGCACAAAGACCCAAAGGGAAAUGGCUUUUACGCGCACGGGACUGUUGUCCUAUCUUUCCAUAUGGAGUGUAUCCUAGAAAAGUCCCUUUCUCUGGCAGCGGUGCUAAAGGGAGGGAACGUCCUCUGCGACAGAAUCCACAGCAGCGUUCAUUCUCCCAUUUAUCAACCGCGGACGCCGUACCUGCCUCAGACCGUGUCCUCGCCGUUGCCUGGAGGGCCCCUCGCUUCCGUCUUGCAAAAACCACGCUCACCUAACUCUUCCUUGAAGUCUUAACCAGGGUUCGAAGGGGGAAAAAAAAAAAAAGGAGGCCAUUUCCCCAACCUGGCUCGGCUGGCCUUGCAGAGAUUCUGAAUUCCCUUCUGUGAGUCAGGCUGGGGGUAAUGGCUCUUGCCCCAAGUGCUGAGCACACAGUUCGAGAGCCUGGCUUCCUGUCCGUGUGUGCCCACUGAAAGCUGUGAGGCGGAGGGGAGGGAGGCUCAGAAAGGCCGGCCCCAAAGUAACAGCAGCAUGGCCUGUGUCCCCCCACCGUGGAGCCCAGGCAGGGGAGAGAAAAGCCACAGGGGGGAGGAGCUCCUGUGACAGAGGACGAUGAUAGGCAGAUGGUGAGAAGCGGUUUCCAGAAGCUGGGAAACAGCCCCAUCUGACUGCAAGAGAAAGACAUACCGAAGGAGGGCAGGACGGAAACAGAAAACAGCUGGCCCGGCUGGGCUGGCAGGGACGGGCUUUCUCAUUUUGCAGAUGAGGAAACUGAGGCCCAGGGAGGGGAAGUGGUUUGCUCAAGAGCAGAUUCUUGAAAGAAUCAUCUGCUUUCGCCCUCCCUCUCCACUUCCUCACCUUCCCUGCUGUCCUGAGUCUGAACCGAAGGACAGGCGGGCUGGAAACCCCGUACAGAGGGGCCGGGGGUGAGGGAACGUGAGAGAAGCUGAGUGUCCGGGCCUGCGUUUGAUUCUCAUUCCGGGCCGGGAAGGCAAGAUCUUUAAGACUGUCUCUGCUCCCUUCUGCUGAUCUCCCUCAGAGCUCUGCACCUCGAGACAGAAUCCCGGGGGAAUCGUAGCUGUGUGAGCUGGGGCGGGGAGCCACAGGCGUGGUUGUGUGCAGAGCUCGGGCUCCCGCGGUUAUGCAAGCGGGUGCUGAAACUCUCCGGCAACCCUUUCUCCUAACCCCUGUGAAGACAUCUGUCCUGAGCAUUUCACGUGAAGCUUCGGAGAUAAGAAAGGCAGGACCCUGCACUUCUGCUCAGUUGCUGCCUCCUCCGGGAAGCCCUCCUUGUUGCAGCAUGAAUCUGGCCUCCCCCCAGGGGUCUGCUCACCCAUAGUAUUAGCCCUACUUUUCUGCCUUAGCCCACUCAGCCUGGGUUUGUUAUAAGGGCUUCUGUCUGCUUCCUUCUCUAGACGGGAAGUUGUCUGGGGCCAGGAGGACCCAGUCUCGUUCGCAUCUGUACCCUGCCUGCCUAUGUCCCUGCACAAAUGUGCUCCAUGCUUUGGAGGCCGGAACCAGCUGUUAAUGGAGGCACAUCACACAUCUUCGGAUUUAACCCAGCCAGUAACCCUGACAGGAAGGAGGACACAUUCAAUUCAAUAAACCCAUAUACAGCAUCUACUUCUUCCUCCCGGCAUUGUCUCAGGGGUGGUCUGUGUGACCAACGGAACGUGGUGGAAGUGAUGGUGUGUGACUUCUAAGACUGUGCCACAGAAGAUGUUGCCACUUCCCUUGCUGUUCUGUGGACUGCCUGCUGUGGGGGAAGCUAGCUGCCUUGUGGUGAUGACACCCAGCAGCCUAGGGAUAGACCCGCGUGGGGAAGGAACUGAAGCCUCCCGCCAUGAGCCAGCACCAACCUGCUCCUACUGUCUGUGUGAACCAGCCUUCUUGGAAGCUGAUCCGCUAGAACUGGGUCAGAGCUCCAGGUGACCGCAGUCCCAGCUGAUAUCCUGACUGGAACUUAGGCGAGACCUUGAGCCAGAACCGCUCAGCUAAGACGCUCCUGAUUUUCUGACCCACAGUGACUGAGACACAGUAGGUGUUCUCUUGAUGCUUUAAGGCUUUGGUUUUGGGAGUCGUUUCAUAGACAGCAAUAGACACACGUACAGAAACGAAGGCUUGGAGAAGAGUUUGGGAAGAGCCUUCAUUUUCAAGGCGCCAUACUGGUAUGCAAUGGGGGCGAUGUUUUUUUAAAGGCGUAAAAGAUGAUGAUGAUUGUGAGGAUGUGUGUAACCUAAGUUGGCAAAAGGAGUGCCAGAGCAGGAAGAAAAUUUAAGAGGCCACCGCAGUCGUCCAGACGAGAGGUAAUGAGAGGGCAGAAGCGGAGGCACCGCUGGGGGACCGGAAAAUGGCACGUCAACGCAGGGGGGCGAAGGCGAAGAAGUCACGAAGGUGACUCCUGGGUUUUGAGCUCAGGAACACGGGGGAGCCAUGAUCUCAUCUACCCAAAGAGGAAACACAGAAGGGAGCCCGCGUGGGUAGGAGUCAAGAAGUGGGGGUGUCUAUCUCCUGGCGAGGAGAGCUCCCUGUGUUCAGAGCUCCGCGGAGGGCUGGCCACCAAGGCUCCUUCACAGAUCGGGCUGGUCGAGAAACCUCUCCCUGAAGGACGAGGCUGUUCCAUUUCACAGCACAUCUUCCUCACUGCCAAGUGUUCCCUGGUGACAGCCUCUGCCAUGGAUAUUUUUAGCAUGUGGCCUUUCUGAGCCUGAAAAACAACAUCCACUUCCUGGAACUUCUCCUCCAGCUGACAGCCAGUGACCCACGCAGGCGGGAGCUUCAGCUGGGCCUGACAGGCGACAGUCUGCCAAUCUGCUGGGGGAGAGGAAGGCAGGCCUCAAGUUGGGCGCAAAGGCCUCCACCCCGCUCCCUUCUGUCCUGCUCUUGAGGCCUAACGACGUCAGUGCACGUCAGAAGCUGAAAAGUAAGGAAGCCUGUGAAUAAAGCCCAAGAGGCAGGAAGCUUCUCCUGCCUCUAUGACAGCUACAUCAAGUCUGAAGGCCUCCCUGUGCCCUGAGACGCAACGAUAUUGAAAUAAGGCCAAUGAGUCACCCGACAGCGGCCUUUAAGUGCUCAAAUGGAAGGAAGAGUCGUAUGUCUCUCACCUUAAAUGAAAAGCUAGAAAUGAUGAAGCUUCGUGAGAAACGUGUGUUGAAAGCCGAGACAGGCUGAAAGCGAGGUCUCUUGGGCCCAACCGGCAGCCGAGUUGCGAAUGAAAAAAGAAAGUUAUUGUAGGCCCUUAAAAGUGCGGCUCUAGUGACCACACAAAUAAGAAAGUGAAGCAGCCUUAUUGCUGAUGUGGAGGAAGUCUGAGCGGUCUGGAUGGAAGGCCAAACCAGCCACAGCAUUCCCUGAAGCCAAAGCCUGAUCCAGAGCAAGGCUUAGCUCUCUGUAACGCUAUGAAAGCAGAGAGAGGUAAGGAAGCCACUCGAGUUUAAAACCAGCGGAGGUGGGUUCGUGAGGUUUAAGGAAAGAGGCCGUCUCCGUAACAUGAAAGUACAAGGUGAAUGUGUAAGCACUCGUGUAGAAGCUACCGCAAGUUCUCCAGAAGAUCUGCCGAAGAUAAUUCACGAAGGUGGCUACACUCCAGAACAGACUUUCAGUGUAGGCCAAAGUGCCUUCUGUUGGAAGAAGAUGCCACCGAGGACUUUCAGAGCUGGAGAGGAGAAGCCAAUGCCUGGCUUCAAAGCUUCAAAGGACAGGCUGACUCUCUCGUUAGGGGCCAGUGCAGCCGAUCACUUGAAGCUGAAGUCAAUGCACAUUGUCCAUUCCAAAAAUCCUGGGGCCCUUAAGAACUAUGCUAAAUCUGCUCUGUCUGUGCUCUAUCAGUGGAUCAGCGAAGCCUGGAGGACAGCACACCUGUUUACAACAUGGCUUACUGAAUAUUUGAAGCUACUGUUGAGAUCUUCUGGUCAGAAAAAAAGAUACCUUCCAAUAAUUCUGCUCAUUGACAAUUCACCUGUCACUCAAGAGCUCUGAAGGAGUUGUACAAGGAGAUUAAUAUAUUUUUUUUGGAUUAAUGCUGUUUUCAGGCAUGCUAAUGCAACAUCCAUUCUGUAGCUCAUGGAUCGAGAAGUAAUUUUGACUUAGGAGUCUUAAGAAAUACAUCUUGUAAGGCUAGAGCUGCCAUAAAUAGUGAUUUCUCUGAUGGAUCUGGGCAAAGUCCAUUGAAAAUCUUCUGGAAAGGAUUCACUGUUCUAGAUGCCAUUAAGAACAUUCAUGAUUCGUGGGAGGAGGUCAAAAUAUCAACACGCACAGGCGGUUGGCAGAGGUUGACUCCCACCCUCCUCUCAUCUCCCUGCAUAGUUCUGGGUUAGUGUGGACUACAGGAGGCAUUUGACAUGAGUUUGGAAGGUAGACGCGAACCAGCAGCCAUCUUUUUAUGCUUAGCAGUUAGGCAGGGCACAUGGCUCUCUGGCACACACAUUCUUGCCUAUCUGCUGGCUCAACCAGUUGACUUAGGGCAGUUGGCGGGGCCCUCAGUUCUUCCAGCUUGUUCUAGGAACUCCUUCAGCUUCUCUGACUGGACUGUGACGAGGCUACCAGAUUCUCCGGCAGAAAGCCGCAGUCAUUGAGGUUUGGGCUUAAAGUCGGUGUGUGAAAGAUAUGGGUUCCAGCCUGUCCUCGUGGUUUCCUCACAGAUUUUAGCGUCUGUCCAGUUCUUGCUUCCCCCGCUUCAUGUACCUCCCUACCUGCCCCUGUUUGCCUGUCGGCUUGCCCUUUUGGAUUUGAGGCUUCCGCACCAAAUGGAGAACCACUUGUUCCCCACCAAGUGGAGAACAGAAGCUGCACAGUUAAGGGUUGAACUGUGUCCCCCCAAAGACCUGUUGAAGUCCUAACCUCCCGUACCUCAGAAUGUGACCCUGCUUGGCAAUGGGGUCGUUGCAAAUAUAAUGAAUUAAGAAAGGUCACGCUGGGGUAGGGUGGACUUUUGAUCCAACAUACUGUUGUCCUCAUGAGAAGAUGGCCAUGUGAAGACAGAGACCUAAGGGGUGAGCACUAGGUAGUGACAGGUACAGAGACUGAAGGGCUGCAGCUGCAAGCUAAUGGACACCAAGGACUCUUGGCCACCACCAGAAGCUGGGGGGAGCAGAGAGGGACCUUCCCCUUAUAGGUUUCAGAAGCUGAUGGCCCCGCCAGCACCUUGAUUUUGGAUUUCUUCUACUCUCCAGAACUGUGUCCCGAUAGGUUUCUAUUGUCUUAAAUUUCUUUACAGCGACCCUAGAAAACAAAUACAUUCACAUAGACAGUUGUGUAAGCUCGGAUCCCUAUGACACAUGCAUAUACGUGUAUGGAUUAUAUGUAUAAAUAUAAAUAUAUAAACAUGUACAUAAUCUUCCAGCAGCUCUGCUUCUCUGGUGAAACCCCGACUGCGACAAGACACGUGUUUUCAUCCCUUUUGGACAAAUAUCUGACAAGGGACUGCCAGGUCAUAGAGUAAGUGUGGAUUUAGCUUUUUAAGAAACUACCAAACUUUUUCCGAAGCGUUUUUAUUUGUAUUUUGCCCUGUUUUUUACAUUUACCACUUUCCGCUCUGACCAGAAAUGGGUUAAAGUCCCAUUUGCCCCACGUCCUUGCUAACCAUUCCAGAAGGUUUAUGGUGGGAUCUUUUACUUUGCGUUUCCCGAUGACUAAUGACACCGAGCAUCUUUUCACGUGCUUAUCGGCCAUUUGUAGAUCUUCUUUUGUGACAUGUCUGUUCAAAUCAUUUACCCAUUUUUUUUUUUUUUUAAAACGGGGAUUGUUCAUCUUCUUAUCACUGGCUGGGAAUAAGUUCUCUAUAUAUUCUGGAGAGACUACAUCCUUCAUCAAGUUUAUGUAUUACAAAUAUUUUCUCCCUGUCUGUGGCUUGCCCUCUUAUUCUCUGAGUGGUGUCUUUUGAAGCACAAAUGUUUUAAAUUUUGAUGUUUUUCUUUACCCAGCUCAGACUUUUUGUGUCUUUAAAAAACAACGACAACUUUUUACAGCCUAGGGAAUCUAGUCCAUGGCAUUGUAAUAGCAUUGUCUGGUGACAGAUGGCAACUUCACUUGUGGUGAGCACAGGAUAACAUACAGACAAGUUGAAUCACCAUGUUGUAUACCUGAAACUCAUGUAAUGUUGUAUGUCAACUGUACACAGAAUGAAAAAAUGAAAGAAAAAAUUAAAAAAUGAAAAAAUGAAAAAUAAAUGAAAGAAAUAAAAUGAAAAAUAAAUGAAAGAAAAAUAAAAAAAAUGAAAGACAAACCACUUUGCCCUCCCUACGGUCACAAAGACUUCCUUUUAUGUUUUUCUUCCAGAAGCUUUGCAGUUUUCGUUUUUAGGUUUGGGUUGAAGACCCAUUUCUAGUUAUACAUGUGCGAUUUGGGUGUAAGGGUCAAGGUUCAUUUUUCCCCCCCCAUGAAUGGCCAGUUGUUCCAGCGCCCUUUGUUUGAAAGACAUUCCUUUCCUCAUUGAAUUACUCUGUCAAAAAUUAACUGGGCGUAUAUGAGCCUCACAAUUUUUUAUUUCUAUUAGAACUGAAUGCGUCCACAUCUGGUCAUGCCCACUACUGACCUCCUUUCCAUAGAGAGCCUGUAAGACAAGCUGAUAGCUGGGGGAAAGGAACCCACACAAGAUACUGUUUUUGUACGACACACGUAUGAUGUUUUCUGCUCUUAUGGGUGACUUACUUAAUCUUGCCACAAGCUCAUAGCCACACACUGUGUUUUGUGUGUUUGUGAUACAGGAGGGAAGACAUUUCCUGGAUGCCACCUCGGUUUCUUACAGUCUGCAUUGAGUGUCUGCGGACUUCAGCUUCUAUUCGUUUCUUUGUGCUGGUAUUAUCAGCUUAUAGCUUGAGACUCUAGGACAUGGAGAUCGUAUCUGUGAGUGUCAUUUUCAUUUGUAAAGCACCUAGCUCAAUGCCCUGGGCGUGUGUGCGAUUUAGUCAGUAGGACUGAGGUUAUGGCCAAUUCACUAUCCCUCAGUUUCCUCAUCUAUUUAUUGGCAUGAAAGCUCAUCUCUAUUUAAU
Neofelis nebulosa (Clouded leopard) is the source of this 8508-nucleotide long non-coding RNA. RefSeq lists it as uncharacterized. The transcript is spliced from 4 exons. The record is from RefSeq and is a predicted model, not a curated record. Lineage: Eukaryota; Metazoa; Chordata; Mammalia; Carnivora; Felidae.